GCGGUAAUACGAAGGGUGCGAGCGUUGUUCGGAAUUAUUGGGCGUAAAGCGCGCGUAGGCGGCUGGGUAAGUCUGUCUGUGAAAGCCCGGGGCUCAACCCCGCGGACUGCAGGGGAUACUGCCUGGCUAGAGACGAGCAGAGGUUGGUAGAAUUCCGGGUGUAGCGGUGGAAUGCGUAGAGAUCCGGAGGAAUACCAGAGGCGAAGGCGGCCAACUGGGCUCGAUCUGACGCUGAGGUGCGAAAGCGUAGGGAGCGAACAGG
Molecule: ribosomal RNA, 262 nt
Filed under: uncultured bacterium
Lineage: Bacteria
Description: partial 16S ribosomal RNA
Rfam family: Bacterial small subunit ribosomal RNA
Source: RNAcentral